GACGAACGCUGGCGGCGUGCUUAACACAUGCAAGUCGAGCGGUAAGGCCCUUUCGGGGGUACACGAGCGGCGAACGGGUGAGUAACACGUGGGUGACCUGCCCUCAGCUCUGGGAUAAGCUUGGGAAACUGGGUCUAGUACCGGAUAUGACUCCAUGACGCAUGUUGUGGGGUGGAAAGCCUUGUGCGGCUGAGGAUGGGCCCGCGGCCUAUCAGCUUGUUGGUGGGGUGANGGCCUACCAAGGCGACGACGGGUAGCCGGCCUGAGAGGGCGACCGGCCACACUGGGACUGAGACACGGCCCAGACUCCUACGGGAGGCAGCAGUGGGGAAUCUUGCGCAAUGGGCGAAAGCCUGACGCAGCGACGCCGCGUGAGGGAUGACGGCCU
RNAcentral lists this ribosomal RNA (388 nucleotides) under uncultured bacterium. RNAcentral's name for it is "bacterial SSU rRNA". It matches the Rfam family "Bacterial small subunit ribosomal RNA", at positions 28 to 417 of the family's 1533-position model. The record is from RNAcentral.